UCAUGGCUCAGAAUGAACGCUGGCGGCGUGCCUAACACAUGCAAGUCGAACGGGAAAGGUCGAAAGACUGAGUAGAGUGGCGGACGGGUGAGUAAAAUAUAGGUAUCUGCCCUUUAGAGGAGAAUACCAUCGAGAAAUCGGUGUUAAUACUGCAUAAGCCCAGAGAUGGGGAAAGGUGGCCUCAAAGCUACCGCUAAAGGAUGAGCCUGUAACCUAUUAGCUAGUUGGUGGGGUAAGAGCCUACCAAGGCAAAGAUGGGUAACCGGCCUGAGAGGGUGUACGGUCACACUGGAACUGAGACACGGUCCAGACUCCUACGGGAGGCAGCAGUGGGGGAUAUUGCACAAUGGGCGCAAGCCUGAUGCAGCGACGCCGCGUGGAGGAUGAAGGUUUUCGGAUUGUAAACUCCUGUUACGUGGGAAAAAAUGCCCUGUUUGAAUAAAGCAGGGAGCUGAUGGUACCACGAGAGAAAGCACCGGCAAACUUCGUGCCAGCAGCCGCGGUAAUACGAAGGGUGCAAGCGUUAUUCGGAAUAACUGGGUGUAAAGCGCGUGAAGGCGGUUUUAUAAGUCAUUUGUAAAAGAGCUCGGCUUAACUGAGCAACUGCAGACGAUACUGUAGAACUAGAGUGCAGGAGAGAAAGGUAGAAUUCUCGGAGUAGCGGUAAAAUGCGUAGAUCUCGAGAGGAAUACCGGUUGCGAAGGCGGCCUUUUGGCCUGUAACUGACGCUCAAGCGCGAAAGCGUGGGUAGCAAACAGGAUUAGAUACCCUGGUAGUCCACGCUG
RNAcentral lists this ribosomal RNA (785 nucleotides) under uncultured bacterium. RNAcentral describes it as "bacterial SSU rRNA". It matches the Rfam family "Bacterial small subunit ribosomal RNA", at positions 17 to 802 of the family's 1533-position model. The record is from RNAcentral.